RNAcentral lists this ribosomal RNA (228 nucleotides) under uncultured bacterium. RNAcentral's name for it is "partial 16S ribosomal RNA". It matches the Rfam family "Bacterial small subunit ribosomal RNA", at positions 568 to 796 of the family's 1533-position model. The record is from RNAcentral.
UGCGUAGGCGGCCUGACAAGUCAGAGGUGAAAGGCUACGGCUUAACCGUAGUAAGCCUUUGGAACUGACAGGCUUGAGUGCAGGAGAGGAAAGUGGAAUUCCUAGUGUAGCGGUGAAAUGCGUAGAUAUUAGGAGGAACACCAGUGGCGAAGGCGACUUUCUGGACUGUAACUGACGCUGAGGCACGAAAGCGUGGGGAGCGAACAGGAUUAGAUACCCUGGUAGUCC